AGACCCGAAACCCGGUGAUCUAGCCAUGGGCAGGUUGAAGGUUGGGUAACACUAACUGGAGGACCGAACCGACUAAUGUUGAAAAAUUAGCGGAUGACCUGUGGCUGGGGGUGAAAGGCCAAUCAAACCGGGAGAUAGCUGGUUCUCCCCGAAAGCUAUUUAGGUAGCGCCUCGUGAAUUCAUCUCCGGGGGUAGAGCACUGUUUCGGCUAGGGGGCCAUCCCGGCUUACCAACCCGAUGCAAACUGCGAAUACCGGAGAAUGUUAUCACGGGAGACACACGGCGGGUGCUAACGUCCGUCGUGAAGAGGGAAACAACCCAGACCGCCAGCUAAGGUCCCAAAGUCAUGGUUAAGUGGGAAACGAUGUGGGAAGGCCCAGACAGCCAGGAUGUUGGCUUAGAAGCAGCCAUCAUUUAAAGAAAGCGUAAUAGCUCACUGGUCGAGUCGGCCUGCGCGGAAGAUGUAACGGGGCUAAACCAUGCACCGAAGCUGCGGCAGCGACGCUGAUGCGUUGUUGGGUAGGGGAGCGUUCUGUAAG
Molecule: ribosomal RNA, 539 nt
Filed under: Salmonella enterica
Lineage: Bacteria; Pseudomonadati; Pseudomonadota; Gammaproteobacteria; Enterobacterales; Enterobacteriaceae
Also listed under: 1 other name
Description: partial 23S ribosomal RNA
Rfam family: Bacterial large subunit ribosomal RNA
Source: RNAcentral